AUAUCAUUCGAUGGAGAUAAACAUUUUGCAUGAUCGUUAAUCGUGUACAUUAUUAUAUAUAGUGCAGAGCCGAUCCUGCUAUCAUGGCGCCUUGAUCAUAUCGAAUUAAUGACACCGUAUGGUCUAAAAUACUCUUUAAAAAAAUGUCUUUUUUCGGUGUAACCUGAGGCCGCGUCUGGCCGUUUUAUAAGCGCCUUAUUACAGUUUCAUACGGUAGUCGUGCGAUGAAUUUGGUCCACGCUUAGAGUGAGUGUGCGCUCAUACUGAGGACACCGUGACCGGGCUGUGCAGCGCCUACGUUGAGGUCUUCGGCGCGAGGCACUCAUUCUUUAAGACUAUACUUUCAGGGAUCAUUUCUAUAGUUUCUGACUUGAGAGAUGCAUUUCGAAAGUGUUUGGUCACGCUAACCAUGAUGAGGAGUCGAGCUCCUUCUCCUGAGCGCGAAGCGGGCGCUGAGUGCUGGUUAAUCCAGCCGCUCGCCGUCAUUGAUGACCGUUCUGUUCUUCUCACGAAGAAUCGGAGGGAGGAGGAGCUGUCUGAAUGGUUAGUUGUAUUUGGUUUGAAAAAAAGAUUUAAUACAUGUAGAUUUAGUCACUGUUAGUUUUUUUGCCGUUAAUUAACAAUGUCUUCAAUCCCUCCUUAGGCAUCUUUUUCAAUGCAUCGCUUCUUUGAAAUUUAAAGAAAGAAGUGAUUGAAAACGUAAAAUACAUCUCACUCGCACGCAUUUAUUUACACGCCACCCAGCGGUAGAGCGUGAAAGCUGAUAGAAUACAAGCUAAAGGAAUACUGGCUUAACUGGAACCAAAAUACAUUUUCAAACACGCACGGCUUUUUAAAAAAGGGAAUAUAUGGAAUUUAUUAAAUAACACCAUCUCUUUUCAUCUGGUAGUUAAAAAAAUUGUUGAACUUAACAAUUUUGCCAAUAUAUGCACAUAAAGCACAUAAAACUACACAAUUUUUGAGAAAUACUCCUGCAAAGUCAAGUAUUUCGGGCUGCAACAAUUACAUAAAAAACAAGAUCCCAUUGUGAAGUUUUCUGGUAUCACCACCGUCACAGGCCUGAUCAGCAACAAUGAGACGGCCUGCAGAACGUAAGAGUUGUUAUUGAUUACAACAAGCAAGUAUCAGAGUGCAGUGAAACACAUGUCGGGCGGUCAGCAACUUAAAAAUUCUUGGAGUCAUUCUCAUUUUUUAUUUCCCAAGACCUAUCGAAAGCUGCGGUGCACCGUCGGACCAUUAACUGUGUAAGACCUGCUCUUAGUUUGCGUGGUUCAUUUGUUUGCACCGCAGCACUGCUAAAUGAAGAGAUUUGUAAGGCCUUUAAUUGAUUGCUUUUAAAUGUGGUCUAUCCUAAUUGAUCUUGGUGUUUUUUAAAUUAUUUACCUAUAUUUUAAAUUAGUCAUCAAUGUUUCACGUCAAACACACUGGAAUGGAACAAACCGCUGUAGUUAGUGAAAAAUUUCUGCACAGAACCACAAAGCACUGCAGAGGGUAGUGAAAACAACACCGACCGUCACCGGGACACAGCUGGUAGCAUUUAAGAAAUUCGCCUCACAGGCUGCCUCCGAAAAGACCACAAAUGACGGAGCCCAGCUGUCCAGCACAGUCACCUUCUUCCUUCUUCCCUCCAGAAGACGUUACAGUUCAGAUAUUAUAUUUCAAUCACCACUGACAUUUAUUAUCCACUGUCACUUUAACCUCAGCAUUAUGUUUUCUCACUUGUAUGUUAUUAUAUAUACAUAUUGCAUAUUGCAUGUACAUUGUAUAUAUUGUAUGUAUAUUACUAUUAUUAUUAUUACUAUUACAUUAUUUUCUAUUUAUUGUUACUUAGGCCUAUUUUAUAUAUGUUGUUUAAGCCUCUGUGGAGGUUGGCAGUAUGUAUUUUACUGUACCCAAUAUUUGUACACGCGUACCAAUGAUGAUAAAGCUUUUGAAUCCUUUAAUUUUCUAGGUACAAUGGCCUCGCUACGCUUAAGAAGGUGACAAGCGUAUAGGAAAAUUAUGUCAUUGCGCAAUUUAUGUCAUUGCGCUUAGUCUAUAAGGAAACACAAUGAAGCGUAAAAUUACUCGUCACUUAGGCAGAGUGAACAAUUCGUUUAGUCACGCGUGUAGCUCCAAAUAGCUUUAUAAAAUUCCAGGAUUAUGACAUUGUUUACUUUAAUGACAAAUUUCAGGAAGUAAUAAUAACAAUAAAUAUACAAAUUUUUAAAAGUAUCUGCGAACCAAAAAUAAACUUAACACAACCAUAAGCUUAUCUACUGGCAUAUUAAAGGCAAAUUUAAAACUACAUAUAAGAACAUAAGAGCAGAACAUGUAACAAAUGACCAAAGUUGACAAGCCUGCGCUGAUAUCAACGUUAACAAGCCGUCAUGUUAAAUACAACAGUGCACCGUAUUCACAGGGGAUGCGAUUCAAGACCUAUACCGCGGAGAUCCGAAAUCCUGCAUGGACAGUAGCGAACACUAUAUAUGAUUUCAACAUGAUGGUUAUUCAAAAACGAGAUAAAUGUUGUCAUUAUAACAAA
Molecule: long non-coding RNA, 2524 nt
Organism: Brienomyrus brachyistius
Lineage: Eukaryota; Metazoa; Chordata; Actinopteri; Osteoglossiformes; Mormyridae
Exons: 2
Source: RefSeq, a predicted model, not a curated record